RNAcentral lists this ribosomal RNA (498 nucleotides) under uncultured bacterium. RNAcentral's name for it is "bacterial SSU rRNA". It matches the Rfam family "Bacterial small subunit ribosomal RNA", at positions 899 to 1397 of the family's 1533-position model. The record is from RNAcentral.
ACUCAAAGGAAUUGACGGGGGCCCGCACAAGCGGAGGAACAUGUGGUUUAAUUCGAUGAUACGCGAGGAACCUUACCCGGGCUCGAACGGCAGAUGAGUAUAUUGGAAACAUUAUAGUUCGCAAGAACAUCUGUCGAGGUGCUGCAUGGUUGUCGUCAGCUCGUGCCGUGAGGUGUCGGCUUAAGUGCCAUAACGAGCGCAACCCUUACCGUCAGUUACCAUCAGGUAAAGCUGGGGACUCUGACGGGACUGCCACCGUAAGGUGUGAGGAAGGUGGGGAUGACGUCAAAUCAGCACGGCCCUUACGUUCGGGGCUACACACGUGUUACAAUGGGGGGUACAAAGGGUCGCUACUUAGUGAUAAGAUGCCAAUCUCCAAAACCCCUCCCAGUUCGGAUCGGAGUCUGCAACCCGACUCCGUGAAGCUGGAUUCGCUAGUAAUCGCGCAUCAGCCAUGGCGCGGUGAAUACGUUCCCGGGCCUUGUACACACCGCCCGU